This is a small nuclear RNA of Fukomys damarensis (Damara mole-rat), 107 nucleotides long. The record is from Ensembl. Lineage: Eukaryota; Metazoa; Chordata; Mammalia; Rodentia; Bathyergidae.
GUGCUUGGUUCAGCAGCACAUAUAUGAAAAUUGAAAGGAUACAAAGAAAUUUAGCGUGGCCCCUGCACAAAGAUGACAUGCAAAUUUGUGAAGCUUUCCAUAUUUUU